Triticum aestivum (bread wheat) is the source of this 76-nucleotide non-coding RNA. NCBI's taxonomy places the organism in Eukaryota, Viridiplantae, Streptophyta, Magnoliopsida, Poales, Poaceae. The record is from Rfam.
AUCUGGGUGAUGAAGAAAAUCGUUCGGAUUCCCACUGAUUUUUCAUGAUUAUUACAACCAGCUACUUCUGACGGAU